UAGAGCGGCUGUGCGCACGCCCCUGCUUUCGGGCCCCGGAGGCUGCUUGGCCUCUGGGCUCCGACACAGGUCGUGCGGGCCGGUGCGCCCUUUCCACAAGAAAGGGUGUGCCGCGCUGGCCAAACCGCACCCAACGCAAACCGAGCCUGAAGCCAAGGGGCGCAGCACCGCUGCAGCCCGCAAAACCAAAGACAACUCUCAACAACGGAUAUCUUGGUUCCCGUAACGAUGAAGAACGCAGCGAAAUGCGAUACGUAGUGUGAAUUGCAGAAUUAUGUGAACCAUCGAAUCUUUGAACGCAAAUUGCGCCCGAGGCCUCGGCCAAAGGCAUGUCUGCCUCAGCGUCGGCUUCACCCCUCCUCUUCUCUCUCUUCAAAAAGAGAAAAGAGGGACCUGGUGGUCUCGGUCGCAAGACCGGGUCCGCCGAAGAGCAGAGGCUCAGCCGCUGUCCCAAACAGGGCAACAGUCUGGUAGGCGACUCGUCGCAUGCCGCUGGUGCCCCGGGCGGGCGGCCGCCGGCAGGAAGUGUGCACGCACACUCGUUUCAA
This 548-nucleotide ribosomal RNA is filed under the name uncultured Chlorophyta. Its description in RNAcentral is "eukaryotic LSU rRNA". The stretch from base 194 to 347 matches the Rfam family "5.8S ribosomal RNA". Lineage: Eukaryota; Viridiplantae; Chlorophyta. The record is from RNAcentral.